This 460-nucleotide ribosomal RNA is filed under the name uncultured bacterium. Its description in RNAcentral is "partial 16S ribosomal RNA". It matches the Rfam family "Bacterial small subunit ribosomal RNA", at positions 338 to 795 of the family's 1533-position model. The record is from RNAcentral.
CCUACGGGAGGCAGCAGUGAGGAAUAUUGGUCAAUGGACGGAAGUCUGAACCAGCCAUGCCGCGUGCAGGAAGACGGCUCUAUGAGUUGUAAACUGCUUUUGUACAAGAGUAAACCUGAAUACGUGUAUUCAGCUGAAAGUACUGUACGAAUAAGGAUCGGCUAACUCCGUGCCAGCAGCCGCGGUAAUACGGAGGAUCCAAGCGUUUUCCGGAUUUAUUGGGUUUAAAGGGUGCGGAGGCGGAUUGAUAAGUUAGAGGUGAAAUGUCCGAUCGUAACUCGGGAACUGCCUCUAAUACUGUUGAUCGAGAGAGUAGAUGCGGUAGGCGGAAUGUAUGGUGUAGCGGUGAAAUGCUUAGAGAUCAUACAGAACACCGAUUGCGAAGGCAGCUUACCAAUCUAUAUCUGACGUUGAGGCACGAAAGCGUGGGGAUCAAACAGGAUUAGAUACCCUAGUAGUC